GGACGAGCGCCCGCCCUGCACUUCCGCCCUCCUGCGCGCCCACUUCCGCUCCACGGGUUCUGCCAAUGGAGGCGGACAGAUGGUUGAGCCAUUCAGAGGACUGGGGUUGGAUUCUCAGCAUCCAUGGGGUGGUUGCAAACCAUCUUAACUCCAGUUCCCGGGAACCUGACGCCCUCAUCUGGCCCCGACAGGCACGCCAGAUGUGCACACCGUGCAUUUACAUACAGGUUCACAGUCCAAUGCCUCCCAAACCAUCAACGAGUGUUGUGAAGAACACAAAAUUGAGUGAAACAGAAGUCAUGCAACCCUAGAAUCCCACCCUGACACUGACCUGGAAGUCUGCAGGGCAAACUGUCUUCCCCCUGCCUAAGUGCUUGGCUGACCGCAUGUGUUUUGUUUUGUUUUGUUUUGCUUUGUUUUUCUUUAAUGAUGUGAUUGUCUUUUGCCACGAUUUGACAGCUCCCACCAGUCCCUGCUUCCAUCCUGCCUCGAGUGUUCAUGGCCUCUCCUGACCUGAGGACUGGCCUGGAGCUGCAAAGCUUAGACUUGCCAGAGGCAGUGAGUGCUAGAAACUGGGGAGAGACCUCAGAGAGAUGAUGGGUGGAAGGGUGUGCUGCAAGGAUGAAUGUUCCCUUCUGACCACCUCUUGAUUUCACCCUUUGCAUAAUUGUGCUGGCCAGUGCCCCGUGACCCCAUCUGAACCCUUUAUGUUUCCAUUAGGGGACUCACCUUUUCCAUUUGUCCCUUAGACCAACGGAACUGAGCUUAGCAGCAUUACUACCUACACAUAUACACAUGUAUACAUAUGCAUAU
Molecule: long non-coding RNA, 813 nt
Organism: Mus musculus (house mouse)
Lineage: Eukaryota; Metazoa; Chordata; Mammalia; Rodentia; Muridae
Product: predicted gene, 40481
Exons: 3
Source: RefSeq, a predicted model, not a curated record